This 356-nucleotide transfer-messenger RNA is filed under the name Clostridiales bacterium. It matches the Rfam family "transfer-messenger RNA". From Rfam's summary of the family: Bacterial tmRNA, also known as 10Sa RNA or SsrA, is named for its dual tRNA and mRNA-like properties. Lineage: Bacteria; Bacillati; Bacillota; Clostridia; Eubacteriales. The record is from RNAcentral.
GGGGCCGUACUUGGUUUCGACGGGGGUAUAGAAGUAAGAUAAGCGAGUCGUUGUCGCCAAACAACGAUAAAAGUGGCAACUAAAUAUAAACGCAAAAGAAAAUAAUAAUUUAGCAUUCGCUGCUUAGUCAGCUUGCUUGUCCCACUUAGACGACCUGCAGUCUAAACUGGGGCAUCAUUUGAAGCAGGGCACUGUAUUAAGGGUUCUCCGACUUAAUGUAGUAUAAUUGGGGAUAGCUGAUUGUAUAGCCUGUCGAUAGGCGAUGCAUGAGGCGAAUAAAAAAUUAUCGACUGCACUCGGAGAAAGUCUUAUGGAAAUAUUUUCGGACAGGGGUUCAACUCCCCUCGGCUCCACCA